UCGAGGGGCAACAGGUAUCAGCUUGCUGAUACGCUGGCGACCGGCGCACGGGUGAGUAACGCGUAUGCAAUCUACCUGUAACAGGGGGAUAACCCGGAGAAAUCCGGCCUAAUACCCCAUAACGAUACCUAUUUGCAUGAAUAGGCAUCUAAAGGAUUUCCGGUUACAGAUGAGCAUGCGUUCCAUUAGCUAGUUGGCGGGGUAACAGCCCACCAAGGCCACGAUGGAUAGGGGUUCUGAGAGGAAGGUCCCCCACACUGGUACUGAGACACGGACCAGACUCCUACGGGAGGCAGCAGUGAGGAAUAUUGGUCAAUGGGCGAAAGCCUGAACCAGCCAAGUCGCGUGAAGGAAGACAGCCCUACGGGUCGUAAACUUCUUUUGUAUGCGAGUAAAAGAGGCCACGCGUGGCCUAUUGCAAGUAACAUACGAAUAAGCAUCGGCUAACUCCGUGCCAGCAGCCGCGGUAAUACGGAGGAUGCGAGCGUUAUCCGGAUUUAUUGGGUUUAAAGGGUGCGUAGGCGGCCCUAUAAGUCAGCGGUGAAAAUUUUCGGCUCAACCGGAAAAGUGCCGUUGAAACUGUAGAGCUAGAGUACACAAGAGGUAUGCGGAAUGCGUGGUGUAGCGGUGAAAUGCAUAGAUAUCACGCAGAACCCCGAUUGCGAAGGCAGCAUACUGGGGUGA
RNAcentral lists this ribosomal RNA (684 nucleotides) under uncultured Bacteroidales bacterium. RNAcentral's name for it is "bacterial SSU rRNA". It matches the Rfam family "Bacterial small subunit ribosomal RNA", at positions 62 to 737 of the family's 1533-position model. The record is from RNAcentral. Lineage: Bacteria; Pseudomonadati; Bacteroidota; Bacteroidia; Bacteroidales.